GGGGGUAUAGCUUAAUGGUAAAGUAUACUGCUCAUAACAGUACUUAUAGGGGUUCAAAUCCCUUUGUCCCCA
This 72-nucleotide transfer RNA is filed under the name Emericellopsis fuci. RNAcentral's name for it is "Acremonium fuci tRNA-Met". It matches the Rfam family "tRNA". From Rfam's summary of the family: Transfer RNA (tRNA) molecules are approximately 80 nucleotides in length. Their secondary structure includes four short double-helical elements and three loops (D, anti-codon, and T loops). Lineage: Eukaryota; Fungi; Ascomycota; Sordariomycetes; Hypocreales; Bionectriaceae. RNAcentral also lists the same sequence under 2 other names. The record is from RNAcentral.